This 253-nucleotide ribosomal RNA is filed under the name uncultured bacterium. RNAcentral's name for it is "partial 16S ribosomal RNA". It matches the Rfam family "Bacterial small subunit ribosomal RNA", at positions 524 to 776 of the family's 1533-position model. The record is from RNAcentral.
UACGAAGGGGGCUAGCGUUGUUCGGAAUUACUGGGCGUAAAGGGCGCGUAGGCGGUCCCUCAAGUCAGGCGUGAAAGCCCCGGGCUCAACCUGGGAACCGCGCUUGAGACUGAUGGGCUAGAGUUCGGGAGAGGAUGGUGGAAUUCCACGUGUAGCAGUGAAAUGCGUAGAGAUGUGGAGGAACACCGAUGGCGAAGGCAGCCCCCUGGGCUAACACUGACGCUCAUGCACGAAAGCGUGGGGAGCAAACAGG